This 253-nucleotide ribosomal RNA is filed under the name uncultured bacterium. Its description in RNAcentral is "partial 16S ribosomal RNA". It matches the Rfam family "Bacterial small subunit ribosomal RNA", at positions 524 to 776 of the family's 1533-position model. The record is from RNAcentral.
UACAGAGGUCUCAACCGUUGUUCGGAUUCAUUGGGCGUAAAGGGUGCGUAGGCGGUCGCGUAAGUCGGAUGUGAAAUCUCAGGGCUCAACCCUGAAACUGCAUUCGAUACUGCGUGGCUAGGGUACUGGAGAGGAGACUGGAAUUUACGGUGUAGCAGUGAAAUGCGUAGAUAUCGUAAGGAAGACCAGUGGCGAAGGCGGCUCUCUGGGACGGUACUGACGCUGAGACGCGAAAGCGUGGGGAGCGAACAGG